Gasterosteus aculeatus aculeatus (three-spined stickleback) is the source of this 2417-nucleotide long non-coding RNA. NCBI's taxonomy places the organism in Eukaryota, Metazoa, Chordata, Actinopteri, Perciformes, Gasterosteidae. The record is from Ensembl.
CAGAUGAGUGUGGGUUGCUGCCAACAGCACUGCAGUCUCCCAGCUCUCGUCCUGCUUACUCAGCACUCCAGGCCUUAACAACCCACUGGGACACACACACACGCACACACAUCCCAUUACAGUAAGCUCUCACUACACUCUGGGGUGGCGUUUAUUACGUUAAGCAUGCGCUGUGAUGUGCUCACACAUGCUGUAUUCACGUGAGCACAGACAGACGGACGCUGGUCAUCUACACAUCCAUUCCAUCACACAAACACUGAGAUACACACACACACACACACACGUACUUACCAAUCUGACUUUAUAGUUUAGACCCGUCUAUCUAAUAGGAUUUGCCAAUAUUUCAAAAAGCUUAUGGCUCAAUUACUAGAUAUCAAUACAAAUAGCAUGUGUUCUGGUACUUUUAUACAGAUGUACAGUGAAGGUGUGCGUUUGAGCACAUACUACAUGUCCAGAUUGUCACACUAAGCACAAAGUAAACUGCUCUUGGAAGUAUACCACAGUUUGUUAACUUCCACUAAUCAUGUCUAUGAGCUAGAAACAAUAACCUGUUGCGAUGCAACAUUACAGAAUGAGGAAUGCGUUGCGUCGGCAGACACCACGUUUAUACAACACAUGUGUGCUACGGGUUAAACCAUCUUUGAGUGUGGGUGUGUGUUGGUGUCAGUAAACAACAAAACAAAGAGGGAAACUUAAAGAGCUGCAGAUGGUAACCGCCGCAGUAACACUCGAGCACAAAGAACUGAGAUACGGACUUGCUCCAUUAACAGAGAAGGUUCUCAGGUCUCACCCUCGGUGAACGAUCCAAACCAACCAUAACAAAACCACACUACCAGCAGAAUGCCAUCAAAAUACACAGUAAUCACUGCACGGCAUAGAAUGGGAGGAAGUGACUCUCACAACGCAUUAAAAAAAACAUUUGAUUGUUGUAGCAGUUUCAUGUAGGAAUCAUUGUUGAAAAGAAAUAGUUGCUAGAAAACUGCUCACAACUUGAUCUGUGGAUUUAGGGACUUUAUACGUAACAAGUUACGUAUAUCACACUAUCGCAAUAUCUCAAGUAUGAUUUCUACAAUUCCUCUGAAGGACGAUAUAUUAUCUGCCGACACUACUUCUUAUGUGUUUGUAAUAUUUGGUAUUCAUAAUUUAAUAUUUAGUAGUACUAACACGUUCCCCUAACCUUCAUGACAGAAGUGCAAAAAUCAUCAUUAUCUGAAUAUAAUGCAGUCAAGUUCAAUAGCACUGCAAACUGCAAGAAUAAUUCAUGUUAAUAUAGUUAAUAUUCAUCCUAUUGUUAGAUGAACAAAUUUGGCAGUGUCCAUCCAAAUACGUAGAUACAGAGUGAAUUUGAAUUCAAUGUAUUUAGUUAAUGAUUCUGCAUAGUACAGCAGAUGUCCAUAAAUUAAAGGUUAGCUGAUACUGACUACAUGCAGUAUCCUCCAUCCAUUUCCUGUCAUUUCAUGGUGCGAUGGAGUCGGUGCUCACCCACCAGCUGUAAACACUGUAGCAGAGCACUGAAAAUGCUGCGUCGGGAGAAACAAUGGCGCUGUUGCACAGAUCCUGGUUCAUCAUUCAUUAUUGAUGAGGGACUUAUGUUUCACACAAACGUGGCUAUAUGUAACAUAACAGGGCCUCAAGUGUGUGUUUGGUACCUGCGCAGCAUUACUGAGUGAGCGAACGUACUUGUGUGUGUUAUUGUGUUGCAGUGAUUCAUCAGUUCAGCCGUAGCAUUGCAUAGAUCUCUUCAGCUUUCCAAGCUAUAGAUUCCAAUUUGCUGCAGGCCAGGGACCUUUAUUAUGAGGAUAUUGAUUUGAAUUUCAUAGUGAGAUCAAUGAUGCUGGGUAGCAAACAGAGCACUGGAUCUUGGAUAAACACACAAAAUCCUGGGACAAAAAAAGACAAAAACAGAUGGAAUAAAUAUCUGGCAGGGGUGAUUGAAGCAGCUACAGCAUCACACUGAUCAGUUUUUAGUUGAUUUCUACCAAAGAAAGCAUCAUUAUUCUUAGUAUAAUAAAUGCACUUAUAGUUUUCCAACUUAUUUUUCCCUGUUGCUAAACAAACCUGUGACUGUAAUGUGAUUAUGACUGCAAUGUGACUGUAAUGUUACUGUAAUGUCACUGCAUUGUGACUGUAACGUGAUUCAAAUGUAUUCAAAUCCAUUCAAAUGUAUAGUAUUUGAGCAUCUUUUAACUCUUUAUUUCUAAAUUUUACAAUCCAGAACUUUAAUGUUAUGUUUCACUCCCAACAGUCUCAUCAGCAUCAUUUCCACCUCCAGCUGUAAAAGCUCUUGAAAUCCAUUGCAGGGUAACUAACAAGCACCAAAUGAGGCCCAGCGAGCAGCUAGCCUGACGGAUAAGGGUUCCUCAAAGUGCCACCGUAUUCUCUGACGAUGCUGAAUCCACAACUGCAGUUCGCUAAAG